GAAGGGUAUCAGAAUCAGCAGCAUCACGAGUACGGAUACAUGAACCAGGGGUACAUGAAUCAAGGCUAUAUGUCUCACCCUGGCUAUGUGAAUGAAGGGUAUAUGUCUCACCCUGGGUAUGUGAAUCAAGGGUACAUGGUGGACACGCGGCAUCCCCUUCACGCGCCUCAGAUGUUCAGCGAUGAGAAUCCAAACGCCUGCUCGAUCAUGUAAGAAAGGAAAUCAACGGUGGUUAAUAAGGAAUUAAUCAUGAUUAAUAUAGAGAGAAGAAAGAAAAGGACCAAAUGUAAAUAGC
RNAcentral lists this long non-coding RNA (295 nucleotides) under Gossypium barbadense (sea-island cotton). RNAcentral's name for it is "long non-coding RNA (GBAR_LNC019455)". The record is from RNAcentral. Lineage: Eukaryota; Viridiplantae; Streptophyta; Magnoliopsida; Malvales; Malvaceae.